AAUGAAGCAUCGGAAUGGUGCGCUCACGUCGCCUUCUCCUGAAAUACCUCCGAGUCUGCAAGUGAGAAAACGCACUGAUCCUGUUGCAAACUGUGAAUAUUCUGAUGAUGCCAGUACAGUUUGAUUUAUUAAAUGUAGGUCCUCAAGCUUCUCAGUGUCAUCUCUUUUCUGCCAGAGAGUGCUACUGUGAACAGGGCCAGGCCCAGGAAUCGUGUCCACCAUAUGGCUGGUUUUCAGCAUCCGUCUUUCUGUCAGCUUUUGUUUUAUCAGAGAUAAGAUGUUUUUGUAUUAGCAUUUAAUGUUGUCAAUCAAAAUUAUGGGAAGAGCUAGAAACUGAUGGGGUUUUUAAUCAGGUCCCCAUCUUGGUCAAGGUUAGGCAGCUGGAGAGGAAGGUAUAAUUGAGCAAAACGUGUCCAGAGGACCCAUGGCUGCACCCCAUCAAGUCAGGGCCCAGGAGGACUGCCUGGCAUGGGUGUGCUUGGCAUUGUGCCCACAGCACUGCUGUCGUGGUACAGACUGGCAGUUGGAAGGGGCCUUAAGCCGGCUGAGAAGUUUGGGCUUCUGGGUUGAAAUCCACAGCCCCGGUUGAGGCCUGUGUGCUGAGUGCCAGAGCUGGAGUUUUCUAGCUUGUAAAUCUGGAGAAUUAACUGAUCUGAAGUGACUGGGAGGGGUGAGCAUAAAAGCCGGGGAACAGGACUCCCAGUGGUGGUCUGGUUUUUUUUGUGAGAUGAGAUGAGAGCUACCACCUGGAAAUGCUCAUUCUCUGCAUUCAGCCUGUCUCACAUACAGGAUUGUAUGGCCAUUUCAGGUUUGGGAAAGAUCUACCUGCUGGGAGCCAGUCUAGUUUCCUGCACCACCUGGAACUUCCAAACCCUUCACUCCUUCAACAGAAUGUUGAGGCUGCCUCAUUUGUGCCACCAAGUACGGGAAUCUUAAAGACAGAAACAGAGCUCAUGACCUUUUAUGGGAAAGAGAGAGGAAAACAAAACAACUUCACAACAGCAUGGCAAGGGGGGAUGUGGAACCAAGGACAUGAUACAGGGAUGGGAAAGGAGGGCAUGCUCAAUUCUAGCUGGUUCUUUCCUUUCAGAUAAAAAUGAGCUUUUCUAGUUGGCAUCCGGCACUGCAGAAAACUAAAAGUCAUCCAGCCAUAGCUUUUUCCUUCCCUGGAAAGCCUGAGACUAGAUCCCAAAGCUCAGAAUGCCUCUGAGAACCAGAAUCACUCCUUUGAGAGGCGCUCCUUGCAGGAAAAAGAGAGGCUCCCAGAGUGGUAGCCUCUCAGUGAAAAUGCAUCCUAAAAAUUCAAUGUUUAUACCAGGCUCAUGACACUAAGAUGUGACAUCUGGACACGAGGGGUCAGCCACGUGGAUACAUCCCUCCCAGAUUGCAUCUCCAGGAAUCACUCUGCUAGCAGAAUGGGCGCCCCAUCCCUUACUAUGCUGCUCCUCCUCAAAGUGCAGCCCAGAAGGACCCAGGCCUUUGAUGCACAUUGGGUGGGUCUCCCACUACUUUAGUUGAAAUGGGAGCAUGCUGGAGUCGGCGUUCUGUUGCUUCUGGUGAGAAGGACAUCCCAUUGACCCCUGGCCACCAGGUCCAGUAUUCCAUCCUUCCUUCUGUCCCAGCCUAUCGCCCUCCCCACCAGGCCCACCCCCACAACUUCUCCUCAAGGGAGGUUGCUCCCGCAGCUGGAGGGCUUGCACAGACCAGCAGUCACAGAAAUCAUUCUUCCUGCUGUACUGGGCCUUAACUGCCUGCAAAUGUCCAGCACUACUGCAUAGGAUGCCAGAGCCACCGAAGGAAAACACAGCCAAGUUUAAUAAUAAUAAAAGGAAAAAUCUCAGCCUGCAGAACUCUGGUUUUGACCCACCAUCGGCCAGAUGCACAUCUUCAGGGCCUGUUGAGCACCUUCUGAAAAGCAGGGCUCGUAAUAGACUCCAGCACAUUCCAUCAGAGUCAGGAAAACUGCAGUGAGUCCCAGAGAAUCUAGGGUGCAGGGCAGGGAGCAGGAGUCAUAAGGAGUGAUAACCUAAACUGUGUGUAGUCAGCGGGGAGGGUCUUAUGUUAUCAGGUGAAAUGAGAGCCAGUAAGUUAGUUGAUCCUGUCACAGAUAUAACCCUGAUAACACCCCAUAGAUACGCGACACGUGUGUCCUGCCCCUGCUUUCCCCAUCCAACAUGGUUCUUCUGUUCCACAGACAUUAAAGGGGCUUUCUGCAAUU
RNAcentral lists this long non-coding RNA (2218 nucleotides) under Homo sapiens (human). RNAcentral's name for it is "non-protein coding lnc-LGI2-5:1". Lineage: Eukaryota; Metazoa; Chordata; Mammalia; Primates; Hominidae. The record is from RNAcentral.